This 254-nucleotide ribosomal RNA is filed under the name uncultured bacterium. RNAcentral's name for it is "partial 16S ribosomal RNA". It matches the Rfam family "Bacterial small subunit ribosomal RNA", at positions 524 to 776 of the family's 1533-position model. The record is from RNAcentral.
UACGAAGGGGGGCUAGCGUUGCUCGGAAUCACUGGGCGUAAAGGGUGCGUAGGCGGGUCUUUAAGUCAGGGGUGAAAUCCUGGAGCUCAACUCCAGAACUGCCUUUGAUACUGAGGAUCUUGAGUUCGGGAGAGGUGAGUGGAACUGCGAGUGUAGAGGUGAAAUUCGUAGAUAUUCGCAAGAACACCGGUGGCGAAGGCGACACACUGGCCCGUUACUGACGCUGAGGCGCGAAAGCGUGGGGAGCAAACAGG